This 1234-nucleotide long non-coding RNA is filed under the name Setaria italica (foxtail millet). RNAcentral's name for it is "long non-coding RNA (SITA_LNC000732)". The record is from RNAcentral. Lineage: Eukaryota; Viridiplantae; Streptophyta; Magnoliopsida; Poales; Poaceae.
GUGCCAUGGAACAAGGCAGCAGCGUCUACUUUACAACAAACGGCAACUCGAUGUGCUCCGAAGAUCACCGAAGCAGCAGCAUCGAUCGAUCGAUCCGGCGCUCCUACUCCUCGUCCUCCUCCCUCUCCCUGGGCACGGCCCCGAACCGCUCCACCAGGAUGUCCGCCACGACGGGCACCAGGUCAUCGCACGGCACGGCCUUCUUGUACACGUCCGCCAGGUGCGAGUCGCUGCCGACGCGGCCGCCGACGAAGAUGUCCGCCGCCUCGCAGACCUUGCCGUCGCUGCCCUUGGUGAGGCAUCCCAUGAAGCCGAUGUCGGCGACCUGCACCUGGGCGCAGCUGUUGGGGCACCCCGUCCAGUGCAUCCGCACCGGCCGUGGCACGGACACCCGCUUCUCCACCUCCCGCGUCACCUGCAGCGCCCGCGCCUUGGUCUCGAUGAUGGCCUGCCCGCAGAACUGUUUGCCCGUGCACGCCACCAGGCCCUUGAGCAGCAGCGACGGCUGCGGCGAGAGCCGCUCCUGCAGGAGGGGCUCCGCGAGCAGCGCGUCGAGCCUCUCGUUCCUGACGUUGGGGAGCACGAUGUUCUGCUCCACCGUCAGCCGGAGCUCGCCGGUGCCGUACUCGUCGGCGAGCCGCGCGAGCUCGAACAUGUCGGAGGCCUGCAGCCUGCCCACGGGCACGUGCAGGCCCACGUACGACAGGCCUUCCUGCUUCUGCGGGUGCACGCCGAGGUAGUCACGCCGCUCCCACUUGGCGUCGAUGAGGUCCUCCGGCGCCGCGCGCUCCAGCACCCCGUUCGGCAUCCUCUUCUCCACCUCCGACCGGAACACCUCCAUCCCCUGGUUACAUUCGUUCAUCGUGUCAACGACGAAGGCACUACUAGCAUUGAAGAACAACUAACUAACUUAACCAUCAUCAAUUUGAACGAACGAGGCCGGCGGCUUACGAGCUCGUCGAUGAGCCACAUCAUGCGCGUCUUCUGCCGGUUGCCCCUGUUGCCGAGGUCCCGGAACGCCUCGAGGAUGGCCUUGCACACCGGGAUGAUGUCGUCGCCGGGGACCCAGGCGUCGAGCGGCAACGCCUCGCCCCACCUCUUGGGGCUGAUGAACCCGCCCACCAGGAGGUUGAAGCCGAACUUGCCGUCCUUGACCGCCGGCAUGUACGCCAGAUCGUUGAUGUGCGGGUGCUCGUACAGGUCGUGCGACCCGAUCACGCACACGUUCCAUUUC